GCAUCUUUAGAGUGGCGUCAUUAGCAGAAAAGUGGCAAAGAUAUUUGUUUGUAAAAUUAUUAAAAGAAAAGAACUAAGGAAAUGUACAAGAAAAUUAAACUCUUCGAGAAGACAUCUGAAUAUGUUCAACCUCAGUUCGCUUACAAAGUUUCAAACCUGGGUUCAUAUGAGUUUUGCCAAGAGUCUAUUGGAGCGCCAGUAGCCGAACUAUUUCCACUCAAAUCGGAAGAUGAUCUGAAAUCAGUUGAGGAAAAAAUCAUUCCAGAAAACCGUGAAACUUAUGUUUCUACAAUGAAGAGCAUUUUUCAGCAUAACGCUUGUAAGAAUUUGAAAAACAUUUUACAAGACGGAAUUAUACUUAACUGCAAUAUUGACAUGGGUCCCAUGGGAAAAAACGUUUGAAGGAUUUUACUACUUUUUAUGGAGCACUUUUGGAUGCCAUUUCAUGCCUGCCGAAUGUAACAAAUCCGGAGGAGGAGCUGCGUAAGGAAAUUAAAUUGCAAAAGAGACGACAUUUUGGUGUCCUCAUCAAAAUCGCAUUCUAUUGAACUAGAAUUCAAUGCGCUAUAAAACCGCAUACUCAAAAUCUUUCUAA
Rhagoletis zephyria (snowberry fruit fly) is the source of this 595-nucleotide long non-coding RNA. RefSeq lists it as uncharacterized. The record is from RefSeq and is a predicted model, not a curated record. NCBI's taxonomy places the organism in Eukaryota, Metazoa, Arthropoda, Insecta, Diptera, Tephritidae.